Merluccius polli (Benguela hake) is the source of this 67-nucleotide non-coding RNA. NCBI's taxonomy places the organism in Eukaryota, Metazoa, Chordata, Actinopteri, Gadiformes, Merlucciidae. The record is from the annotation of a GenBank genome assembly.
GUGGUGGCCAAGUGGUAAGGCGUUUGUCUCAUAAACCAAAGGUCAUUUGUUCAAACCCCAUUUAUGC